GAUGAACGCUAGCUACAGGCUUAACACAUGCAAGUCGAGGGGUAACGAGAGGAAAGCUUGCUUUCCUUGUCGACGACCGGCGCACGGGUGAGUAACGCGUAUCCAACCUGCCCCCAACUAGGGAAUAACCUUGCGAAAGUAAGACUAAUACCCUAUAAUUUCCUCAGAUGUCAUCUGACGAGGAAUAAAGAUUUAUCGGUUGUGGAUGGGGAUGCGUCUGAUUAGCUUGUUGGCGGGGUAACGGCCCACCAAGGCAACGAUCAGUAGGGGUUCUGAGAGGAAGGUCCCCCACAUUGGAACUGAGACACGGUCCAAACUCCUACGGGAGGCAGCAGUGAGGAAUAUUGGUCAACGGGCGGAAGCCUGAACCAGCCAAGUAGCGUGCAGGAUGACGGCCCUAUGGGUUGCAAACUGCUUUUAUACAGGAAUAAAGUUGGCCACGUGUGGUUAUUUGUAGGUACUGUAUGAAUAAGGACCGGCUAAUUCCGUGCCAGCAGCCGCCGCAG
Molecule: ribosomal RNA, 506 nt
Filed under: uncultured bacterium
Lineage: Bacteria
Description: partial 16S ribosomal RNA
Rfam family: Bacterial small subunit ribosomal RNA
Source: RNAcentral